This 440-nucleotide ribosomal RNA is filed under the name uncultured bacterium. Its description in RNAcentral is "partial 16S ribosomal RNA". It matches the Rfam family "Bacterial small subunit ribosomal RNA", at positions 338 to 795 of the family's 1533-position model. The record is from RNAcentral.
CCUACGGGAGGCAGCAGUGAGGAAUAUUGGGCAAUGGGGGCAACCCUGACCCAGCCAUGCCGCGUGAGUGAAGAAGGUCUUCGGAUUGUAAAGCUCUUGCGGACGUGACGAGGAUGACGGUAGCGGCGAAAGAAGAACCGGCAAACGUCGGGCCAGCAGCCGCGGUAAUACGAAGGGGGCGAGCGUGGUUCGGAAUUACUGGGCGUAAAGGGAGUGUAGGCGGAUCGGGAAGCGCGCGGGGAAAUGCCGGGGCUCAACCCCGGAACGGCCAUUCGGACUAUGUAUCUAGAGUAAUGGAGCGGUUAGCGGACUCCCCCGUGUAGAGGUGCACUUCGUCGCUAUUGGGUAGAACACCGGUGGCGAAGGCGGCUCUCUGGCCAUUUCCUGCCGCUGAGGCUCGAAAGCCUGGGGAUCAAACCGGCUUAGCUACCCCUGUAGUC